UACGUAGGGUGCGAGCGUUGCCCGGAUUUAUUGGGCGUAAAGGGCGCGUAGGCGGCCACGCACGUCCGUUGUGAAAUCGCCCGGCUCAACUGGGCGGGGUCAGCGGAUACGGCACGGCUGGAGCAAGCUAGGGGGCAAUGGAAUUCCCGGUGUAGUGGUGGAAUGCGUAGAUAUCGGGAGGAACACCAGUGGCGAAGGCGGUUGCCUGGAGCUUUGCUGACGCUGAUGCGCGAAAGCGUGGGGAGCGAUCCGG
RNAcentral lists this ribosomal RNA (253 nucleotides) under uncultured bacterium. RNAcentral's name for it is "partial 16S ribosomal RNA". It matches the Rfam family "Bacterial small subunit ribosomal RNA", at positions 524 to 776 of the family's 1533-position model. The record is from RNAcentral.